UUCCCUUUUUUUUUCUUAUUUCUUUUUAUUUCCCUUUCCCUCUCUCAGUUAACCCUCAUGUCAUCGAGACGUCCCCCCAAAUCUUCAUCUUCUUCGUCCGCCGCCCAACCCCUUCACGCUGCUCACUGCCCUUCGCUGCUGCCGCUGAUCGUCAAACCCGCGUCAUCAGUUUCAUCAACGACAGCUUUCAUCACAGAAAGGGACGCCCUAGUUCCAUCGUCGCAAGUUUCUUCGUCGCAUCCCUCCAGCGCUCGCACCCGAUGAUCGUCUGAUGCCUUCUUCACCGGUCAAAUCAGCGCCGUAGGUAUGUCCGUCGAGCUGCCUUCAGUCAGUUCCACCACCAAGUCCGUUCACGCCAAUUUUCGUUAUUCGUCUCAGACCCGCUAGAUCCGACAUCCAGCCAUCGUUCUGCUUGGUUUUUCCAGUCGCCGCCAUCGUGAACUCCACGAUCGGUGGGGGAUCUAGUGGAUUUGGAGGUUUGAUGGUCUUGAGAUACUGUCCAGCAGUUCGAAGGUUGUUUUGGUGUGUCAUAAGUCAUUUUCCAGCAGAUUUGAAGUUGUUUCGCAGGAUUUUAGUGAGUACAAGUUUAGUGUGUCAUAAGUCUCUUACCAUCAGCUUUGAAGUCAAUGUGACCUCAGUUUCUCUGGUAUCAACCACACUGGCGAACAUAUUCUAGGUCACUCCGACUAUUCAACAUUGUAGUAUGGUGACUGUUUGAUUGGUCUUUGUAUGAGCGUGAAACCUAAACAAUUUUUUUGCCGCAUUACAAGGUUAGUUCACAUUCAUUUCAUUAUCAAUAAACUUGAAACUUUGGAAUACUGUUUUUUCAAUUUCAAUAACUCCAGACUGUUAUUGAUGAUAUAUCCACCAAACUCAUCAGCUCUUGGUGUACUUUGGCAUUUAGGUAAUUUUUCUUUUCUGUAUUUUUCUUAAAUCUUUUCUAAUACAGUUUUAAGUUAGAAAUGGGAAGGACUACUUCUGCAGUUUUCAUUUGUAACAUAUUGAGUUAUACUGCAUUUGUUUUUGCCUUUUAUUUGGGUUUUUUGUUUACAUUUAUAGCCUCACAAAUCUCUUUGAUGAUCUCUACUUUUCUUGCCUUGGAACUCUCUCAUGGUUUGAAUUUUUCAUUUUACAUUUUCUACCAUCUCUGUACUUCAUUUCUCGAUUCAUUGAUUGCUAUGGUAUAGAUGACAUUAACGAAAUGGAUCAUUAUUCUUAUUCUACAUGUUAUUAGCCAAAUUGAGUCCUUGAAAAUAAUAUGACAACAUCCACAUGUUAGCAAUCCAAGUUCAUAAUAUAUAUAUAUAUAUAUAUAACAAACAGCAAAAGAAAAGUUCCCUUUUCUCCCGUCUGCUCUCUAUUAGUUGUUGAUUUCUAUUACAUGUAACCAUUUAAUUAUGCUUUCAACUUAAUUCAACACAUUUUUUUCUUUUAUUUAUUGCAAUUUGGCCCUCCGUGGCUUGAUUUGUCUUCUGGGUAAGCUCAAUACGAGGUUGUGAAUUAAAUUCACUCCCUUAUUAUUUUGUAUUUUGAUUCAGCAAGCAAAGUACCCAAUUGCAUUUCCCCAACUUUUAUUACUAAUUUUAUCUUCUCUACUUUAAUAAUGCAAACCUUUUUCCUUCUAUAAUUUAUGCCUCGAGCUGGAGGUCUAUGUUUAAUCAUACCAUAUAUUUUCAAUGUUUGAUUUAGCAAAUUAGAAUGAUUUGAUAGUUUAAAUGAUAUCAUGUACUUUUAAUCUAGUAUGUUAUUUGAGAAUAAUUGCAAAAUAUUGGUUGUGCUAAACAUGUAGAUGGUAUUGCUGCUUUUAAAUCAGCUCAUGAUUCUGGGUUGCUUUUCAUAUAUGGUUUUUAAUUAAAUUGAUGCUCUAAUGACAUGUUUGGAAGUGAUUUUGUUUUGUCAUGUUUAUAUUUAUGGUUUCACUAUUCAAUCUAGCGACUUAUCUUCUUAUGUUGGACAUUGGCGUGUAUAAUAACACAAUUUAUGUGUAUUUAGCACAAAAGUUUUUUGUGUUGGAGUGUUAGGACUCUUUUGCAGUUUUGGAUUCCUUCGAACACUUUUAAGCUAGGAUUCAAGUCAUCUUUUAUAAGUUUUAUAUGUUAAAACUUUGUUUAGAUCAAUCAAUUAAGACAUUGUCUAUUAAUUUAUAAACCUGGGAAAAUCUCUAUUUGUACUUUAAAACUAAUUAGGAGUCUUCAAGUUAAUUUUUAAGGUGACGUGAAGGUAAGAGUAUAUGCCCUUACCAUUAUUGUAUUAGUUUGAAACUAAGACAUUUUUAUUGUUCAAUUUAGAAAUGGAUUUUGGAGAAGUUUUUUUUCUAAUCUUUACAAGUUUUAUUGCUUUCAUGGUUGAAAUAUUUAUUGUUUUCUAUAGGGUUUGUCUCUAGGUUCUUGAUAGUGUCUUUUUUUAUUUAAUAAAAAAAUCAUGCCUUUUAAAAGUUUAUACAGUCGAUGACUUUUCACCAUAUCAAUUUGCCUUGACAUACGUUAACGAUGACAUAUGAUAAUCAUGUUUAUUCUACAUGACUUUGCCAAUGUAGGGUCAACCGAGAGGCCAACAAGUUAUGUGUUAGUACAUAAUAAGCCAAACAAAAUUGAGUUUGGAUCAAAUUUAAUAUUUAUAAUCUAUAGACUUCACUUCUUAGAGGUAAAGAAUUUUUGGACUUGCACCAUGUUUUUUUUUUUUUUUUUUUUGUCUAUAUCUUAGUUUUUCUAGUCUAUGUGAUAUUUAAUUCUUUUCAAUCUAUUCUUGAAAACUUCGGCCACAUUUGAUAAAUGAGUUUGAGGUGAAUUUGAUGAUUAUAAAUAUAUAUUCUUUUUGUAGGAGUCAAACAUACGAUAUUGAUUAGAUAGUUAGAUGUGAAGACGACAAGAUGCAUCAUGUUUGAAAAAUGAAGAUUAAAGGAUAUAUGUUUAUCUUAAGAAAACUAGAAAGCUAAGGUUACUUUGCUUUUUUUCAUUUCCUAUAAUGUAAUUUGAAAACCAUGAUGAUCCCAUAAAAAAUAUGCAUUUAUUUAUGUCUAUUGAAAUACUCUUAUAAUUGAUGAAAUAGCACAUUAUGAGUGAUGUAUACAUUUAGACUCUUGAAAAUUUAUUUUAAUAUAAAUCCACUUGAUUGUCUUAAAUGUUUAUAAAAUUGAAGUUAAUUUUACGUUUACAUUUGUGGCAAUUUGUUACUCAUAUAACAUGUUAUAUAAAUGUGAUAUGCACUUGAUUACAAUUGACUAUCACAACGAGAUUAAAGAUGUUAUAUGUUUUCAUAGCAUCUUUUACUACUAAGAAAUUGCUAUUAGAAGUUAAUUAUAACAUUUUUUUAAUGCUAUUAAAAGUAAAUCAUAGUAUUUUUAUAAUACUACAAAAUCUUUUCAUAACAUUAAAAUGAUGCAACCGAAAGUGAAAUUUUUAUAGCGUUUAUAGCAUUGAAAAAAAGCUAUAAAAAAUCAGGGACUUUCAAUAAUAUCAGCUACAGCAUACCUAAAAAUGAAAAUUUUUUAUAGCGUUUUUUAAUCGAUAUAAAAGAUCUUCUAUAACUUUUUGCUAAGGCUAUAAAAAGUUUUUAUAACAUUAAAUUCACGCUAUCGAAAAUUGAUUUUUUAUAGCGUUAUAAAAUGCUAUGGAAAGUUAAGGAUUUUUAAUAACAUGGGCUACGACAAUUUGAAGCUUUACCUUGUGGCCUUUCCUAAAGCACAGUGUUCACAAAAGGUUAGAUUUUCUUUAGAGAUCUUUAGGUAGAAUCCCUUGUUUAGAUAGGACUUCUAGGCCUUAAUCUCUAGUGCCAAACAUCAGCCUCUGUGAUCUCAUUUGUGGUGGCAACAUAUGUCUCUGUCAUUAUUUCAACUCAUUUGACCACAAAUAAGUCAUUUGUGGUGGCAACACAUGUCUCUGUCAUCAUUUCAACUCAUUUGACCACAAAUGAGUCAUUUAUCUUCUUUUUCUUGAGUUGUCACUGAGGCUGGGAGAGUUGAUGGGGCUGGGAGAGUUGAUGGGUCAAGAGAGCUCUGUGAGCCUUUUGUUGACUGAGAAUUGUUUUGAUUUUGACCUUUCAUACGCCAAAAUCUCCUUUGUCGUCGAACUUCUCUACUUUGAAUCUUGCUACUACAUCUUGGAGUGAAAAACUUGAAUCUUGAAUCUUCAAGAACUGCAAUCUUGAUAUUCUGUAUUAUGGAAGCACAAAUGAUGAAAUGCUGGCCCUUUUUGCUGAUCCAAAUCGUGAUCCACCAAGUUGUUUUGCCCCAAAUUAAAUUGGUUGGUAGAAAACUUGGUCCUCCUUGCUCCACAUCUUCCUGCGUGGAAUGAUCUGCCUGAUGGAAGGAAAACUUUCUGUUUUCGAUGGGAAUUUUUCAGAACAAUUAAUUUCUUUUUCUCUUUCGUUCUCUCUAUCGUUUUGCAGAAAUCUUUUGCUAACAUUUUCUUUCUUUCUGGUUCGAGGGAUUGUCGAGAGUAUGAAGAAGAAGAACAUGCAAUGUUGUAAAGAGAAAGAAGAGGAAGAGAUCUACAAGAUGAUAUACGUGGUUCGGUAAAAUAGUGUCCGUAGGAAGGAGAAGAGUUUUAUUCAAGAGCUAAGUUACAUUUUUUUUACAGAUCUUGUAGCUUUUUUGUAAGCUUCUAUAAAUUAUUUCUACAAACUAUAAAUGAUGCAUAUUUAUACAUCUUGUCUAGUUACAAAAACAAA
Benincasa hispida (wax gourd) is the source of this 4668-nucleotide non-coding RNA. The record is from RefSeq and is a predicted model, not a curated record. Lineage: Eukaryota; Viridiplantae; Streptophyta; Magnoliopsida; Cucurbitales; Cucurbitaceae.